This 305-nucleotide unclassified non-coding RNA is filed under the name plant metagenome. RNAcentral's name for it is "partial contains 5.8S ribosomal RNA, internal transcribed spacer 2, and large subunit ribosomal RNA". The stretch from base 1 to 105 matches the Rfam family "5.8S ribosomal RNA", at positions 50 to 154 of the family's 154-position model. The record is from RNAcentral.
GAAAUGCGAUAAGUAGUGUGAAUUGCAGAAUUCAGUGAAUCAUCGAAUCUUUGAACGCACAUUGCGCCCUUUGGUAUUCCUUAGGGCAUGCCUGUUCGAGCGUCAUCUAAACCUUCAAGCCCUGCUUGGUGUUGGGUGCCUGUCCCGCCUCCGCGCGCGGACUCACCUCAAAUCCAUUGGCGGCCCCCGCGUCGGCCACGAGCGCAGCAGAAACGCGAACUCGUGAGCCCGUCCGGGCAGCUCCCAGAAGCUACACCCACCCAGUUUGACCUCGGAUCAGGUAGGGAUACCCGCUGAACUUAAGC